RNAcentral lists this ribosomal RNA (546 nucleotides) under Bifidobacterium pseudocatenulatum. Its description in RNAcentral is "bacterial SSU rRNA". It matches the Rfam family "Bacterial small subunit ribosomal RNA", at positions 154 to 711 of the family's 1533-position model. Lineage: Bacteria; Bacillati; Actinomycetota; Actinomycetes; Bifidobacteriales; Bifidobacteriaceae. The record is from RNAcentral.
AAAAGGGUGGUAAUGCCGGAUGCUCCGACUCCUCGCAUGGGGUGUCGGGAAAGAUUUCAUCGGUAUGGGAUGGGGUCGCGUCCUAUCAGGUAGUCGGCGGGGUAACGGCCCACCGAGCCUACGACGGGUAGCCGGCCUGAGAGGGCGACCGGCCACAUUGGGACUGAGAUACGGCCCAGACUCCUACGGGAGGCAGCAGUGGGGAAUAUUGCACAAUGGGCGCAAGCCUGAUGCAGCGACGCCGCGUGCGGGAUGACGGCCUUCGGGUUGUAAACCGCUUUUGAUCGGGAGCAAGCCUUCGGGUGAGUGUACCUUUCGAAUAAGCACCGGCUAACUACGUGCCAGCAGCCGCGGUAAUACGUAGGGUGCAAGCGUUAUCCGGAAUUAUUGGGCGUAAAGGGCUCGUAGGCGGUUCGUCGCGUCCGGUGUGAAAGUCCAUCGCUUAACGGUGGAUCUGCGCCGGGUACGGGCGGGCUGGAGUGCGGUAGGGGAGACUGGAAUUCCCGGUGUAACGGUGGAAUGUGUAGAUAUCGCAAAAGAACACCA